This 6637-nucleotide long non-coding RNA is filed under the name Homo sapiens (human). RNAcentral's name for it is "non-protein coding lnc-ZBTB7C-10:1". Lineage: Eukaryota; Metazoa; Chordata; Mammalia; Primates; Hominidae. The record is from RNAcentral.
AAAAUGUACAUCGUCAAUCACAAACACAUAUUCUAAGGAAUUGAAUUUUAUAGAGAUAAUUGAAUGCUUUCAUCUGUAAAAGAAUUAGUGGCCUGCAAACCACUGUGGAUUCUUGCUAUGCUUUGAAGUUGUCAGUGGGGGAAUUUGCUGCUGCAAGUUACUUAGACUUGUAGGCAAAGGGAAAUUCAAAUUUUUAAUUCUAAAAUGAAAACCACUGACAAAAUUUUAUACUCUGAAAGUUUGGUUGUUAGCUUAGUCAUUAUUUUCCUGUUCUUUAUCAUUUCGGAAUUCAGAUGCUUAAAUUUAACAUACAAAUUAUUUGUUGGUAAAACAUAAAACAUAAAAAGCUACAUUUGGUAAACUAAAUUUUAGGAUUCAAAGUCUCUAACAAUUUCUAUGUGACAUGUCAUACGGUGCAGUUUUUAUUUGCCAAAGUGUCUACUUCAUACUGCCUAUGCACUGCUUCCCGUUUUUAAUCUCUCUACCCCAACCCCCCUAUAAUUAAAUAAACCCCUAGAAAACUGCCUUCUUUUAGAAUACCUAAUUGAUUACUUUAAAUAUUUUUUCAGAAUCAAAAUUACAAAAGGGAGAGAUACCUAAGAAUCUGGCUUGUUUAUAUUCUUUAAAAGAUCGCAUUUGAUUGAAGGUUACUGUACUGGUUUGCCAGCAAACAAUGGAAAAUGUGGAGAAGCUGAAGAAUGCUCAAGCUGGGACUUAAUAGAGUGGCCUAUUUGGUUUGAAAUGUUUUAACUUACAGAGCAUUGAGUAGAAGCCUAAUCUAAUAUACAUAAGGAAGACAAAAGCAAAGGAUUGUGUUUUCUAUCUAAAGGUUAAUCAUUGUGGUUGCUCCUGGCCAUUAUCACAUGACUGGAAGUUAACACUCUCCAAACGCUGAGCCUAUCCUGUACAGCACUAGAAAGUAGAAAGAAUCACUCAAUUCAGGGAAACCGUUUUCUCUUAAUGUGAACAUUUACAUUAAUGCCAUUUCCAAAACCUUUCUGGGACUUCUUAAAUGCAAAGAUGCUAUCUGCUUUACUUCAUGCUGCCUGUUUUUAGGAGCUUGGAGUGCUUUAGGAAGCUUCCCAAUACUGGUUUAGCAGUAAUUUGGUUGACUGAUCAAGGCAUGUUUUAACUUUGACACUGAAAUUUUAAAAAGACAACAGUUAUCUUGCCCGGAGAGUCAAGUUUCUGCUUCCAAGGAGGUCAGGAAUUGUUCUCUUUGGUGAUGUGGCUGUGCUUGGUAGCCCUUGAAAGUGGAGUCGACAGCAGUCCUCAGCUUUUGUGUGCCUGUCUUAGUCUGUUUUGUGUUACUAUAACAGGAUAGCUGAGGCAGGGUCACUUAUGAAGGAUGCUCACAGUUCUACAGGCUGGGAAGUUCAAGGGCAUGGCCCUGGCUUUUGGCAAGGGCUUUGCUGCUGCUUCAUAGCUUGAUGGAGAAGGUCAGAGGGGAAGCAGACGUGCAAACAACCCACUUGUUCACAACAACCAAACAAGUCUCUUUUUAACAACCCACUCCUGGGGACUAAUCUAGUCUUGAGAGAGUGAGAACUCAUUGCAAGAGCAGCACCAAGCCAUUCAUGAAGCAUCUGCCUCAGUGAACCAAACAUCUCCCACUAGGCCCCAGCUCUCAACACCACCACAAUGAAGAUAAAAUCUCAUCAUACAUUUGAGGGACAGUUUGGGAGACAGACCAUAGCAGUGCUCAGUAUUUCUACCCAAAUGUUCAGGUAACUUAAUAUAUUUUUCCUUGAAUAUAUGUUUAAAUGGGCUUCCCUUCCCCACGCUCAUCUUGAAUGGUCCCACAACAACUUUUGAUUAUCACGUUCCUGUAAAUACACAAAAAUAUUUUGUGGUCUUUUACUGGCAGCCCAGUGGAUGGGACUUUAAAAAAUCACCCAGAUUCCAACAACCAGAGAAAACGACUGGUGUAUAUUUUUUCCAGUCUUUAUUUGUAUGUCUGUGUAUAUUCAAUGGAAAAUGUUUGAAGCUUCACUCACAGCACAUUCCAUUAGAGAAAGCUACUAAAAUCAUAAGGAAAAUCUAAAAUGCAGUAAGCCAGUCAGCAAGCCAUAAUGGGCAUAUGAAAACAAAGUUUUUUGCCAUGAUUUGUGGACCACAGAAGAUCUGUGUUAUUAGUCUAUUUAAGUUUGGUGUUUGAAAUUAAAAAUGUUCGACAUACUUUUUAUGUUUUUUUUAAAUAUACUGUCUAUAUUUAAAAUUGAGUAUACUGUACUUUAGUGUGUUUGGAAGCAGAUAUCCCCAAAUAAAAGUAUACAGUAGAACCAAAGAAUUUUAUUGAUCAGCUAGAAUUUAGUUUUCAGGUGUAAUAACUGUCAACCUAAAUAACAGAGGCUUUCUAAAAGAAAAUGAUGUUUAUUUGGGAAUAGGGCAUUGUGAAGGCAAUAUGCAUGCCAUAGUAAACUGUGUGUAUUCAGGAAGGUAAAGGAAGACAGGUUUUUAAAGGACAGAUAAAGAUUAUAUAAUUGUCUUGAAAUAAUUAUUCUUGGCUACAAGGAUUAAUAACAAGGAUGCUGCCAGUUCGGGUUUGGACAAUCGGCUUCUAGGCAGAUGUCCCAAAAGUAUUUUCUGUGUAAGGUUGCGAAUAGUGUUUGUGCAAGCUGGCGUGGUUUCUUCUGGGUCUUUGAGGUAGUGCGUAAAAUCCCUCUCUUCAUGGACUUCCCUGGCUCCAUUUGUCAGGGCUUUUGGAAACAUGACUCUUGAUUCUGACAGCUUUCACCUUUCCCUCUCUUGAUGAAGAUGUUUUUCCGAAAGUAUCUAUGAUGAAUCAUCUUGUAGUUAGGCUUUGAUUGUCCCUUGGUGACAGAAUAGACCUUUCCCGGGUUAUUGGUCUGGUCCUGCAUCCUGCAUUGGCAGGAGUGAUUGGCAACUAAAAGUCAGUGUUAAAACCCUUUUAGCCACCUUUGAGGGCAGGGAGGCUUUAAGGGAGUGGCACUUAGGCUAAGUCCACCUGGAGUCUAUUAUUAAGUCCAAUUUUUUUUCCUUAGUCCUUUGUUGUCCCCUCAAAGUGCUGGGCUAGCAUUAUUCUGUUAGGAAUUGUACUUCUUUCUGCAGAAAAUUUGGCAAAUAACAGAUACAAAGUUUAAAAAGGAAAUACACAAAAUUAAUAGUAAUGUGACAAUCCCAGUUUGCAUAAUGGUUUUGAGCCCUGAACCUAGGCUUACAGGCAACCAAUUGAAUAAAUCAAAUUGUAAUACAAUUCUUGCUCUGAUGUCUUAGGAAAAAUGUCUACAGCCUGAAAUCAUCAACUUUUUGUCCUGGUUUGCAGUUUGAAUGUCUCUAGCUAUGGCAUUGGUUGGUAUGGUGAACUUUUGUGUGACCCAUACAUCAGCAUGAGACUUGCUCCUUUAAAAAUUAAUCACAUCUUAGCUUAUAGGCCUCAGAGCAUGGGAGUAGUUUUUUUUCUUAGAGAGUCAUAGCCAAAUAUUGAAGGAAAUUAGGAGGAUUCAGGAGCAAAUCCAGUCUGCAGGUGGAUAACAGGAGUUUCAAAACGGUACAGAGCUGUGAUCUAAUAACAGGUACAUAUAGCUUUCUUCAGAAACUUAAAGUUACCCUGAUUUUUACCAAAGAUGUUCAGAAUAAAACAGAUUUGUAAACUUUAUCAGAUUUUGUCUGCAAGAAUAGUAGUAUGGUCACAGUAAUCUCAGAUUUAAAAACCUCCUUGAGGCUAAGAAGCUAAGUCAAGGUAGACUUUAGAUUUUACCUAUAGUUUUAAGGUUCCUGGGCCUGCCAGGAAAUGAUAAUUUUUAAUUCAGUGUAAUGCUGAGAACCAUUGAAGCCAGGCAUUCUACACAUUCUCAAAUAUGACAUUUUAAUCAAAGCCUUGGUAAUACAACCAGUGUUUCCAAUUGUAUCCUGUUAUAACGAGAGCCGAUUUUUAUUGAACUUAGGCAAAUCAUAUUGCCUUAAGAGUACUCACAAAUAGGCUGGGCACAGUGGCUCAUGCCUGUAAUCCCAGCUCUUUGGGAGGCCAAGACAGGUGGAACACCUGAGGUCAGGAGUUUGAAACCAGCCUGGCCAACAUAGUGAAACCUCCCCCCGGCCACCGUCUCUACUAAAAAAUACAAAAAUUAGCUGGGUGUGGUGGUGCAUGCCUGUAGUCCCAGCUACUUGGGAGGCUGAGACAGAAUUGCUUGAACCCUGGAGGCAGAAGUUGCACUGAAACAAGAUCGUGCCACUGCAUUCCAGCUGGGGCAACAGAGCGAGACUCCGUCUCAAAAACAAAAACAAAUGAAUACUCAAAAUAGUUUCCAAAUUGGAGGGAUCAAGAAGAAAGGAAAAGCAAAUAUUUCUACCUUUGUUCACAAAAGUAUUCCAAAUUGCUGUAAACUAUAGAUAGCAUGAGAGAAUUUCUUUAAAUAUGGAAAACAAAACAUUUAAGUAAAAAAACAAUAAUGCUUCAAAUAAAAGUCACAGACACAUCUUCAGUUACUUAGUCUCAUGUAACUUUUUUUGUUGUGGUUGAUCUUAAUUAGUAGUUACAUGGACUCAUCAGUUUCUUGAAGUUCUGAAAAAAUAUUUAGUCCAUUGGUAUUAAAGUGAUUAGUAACCUGUAUUUAAAAGUGUGUUAGCAUCUUUUCCAUGAAUCUGAUUGCAAAUGCUUUUAGAGAAAAAGCAAUAACUGGGAAUUACAAAAACUUAGAAUAACCAUGAUUAAAAAUCUGAUGAGAGUUUACCAUAACCAGAAAUAGACAAAGAGUUUUGGUUAUUUUUGUGGCAAACAGCAUAAUCAGAAUUAUGACUGAUGACAUAUUUCUAACGGCAUCGUACAAUUUUGGAACACUCAUAUCAAUAACAUACUCAUAAAUGUAACUGUGUCUAGUAUUACAUCAUUAGACAAUGCUUUUCAUACAAUUUAAUACAUCAAAGAAGCCUAAUUAGCUAACAUCUCUACCAGAUGGCAUACACAUGCUCUGAGGCUUUCCAGAGGCCCAAGUGGAAAACUCAAAGGUAAUUUUAAGUCAAAAACACUUAAUUUAGAACUUGAGCCUAGAGAAGCCUGUCAAAGAUGUCAAAAGUUCGAAACAGGAUCACAGGUCACUAUAAAAUAUUUAACAAGAAUGAUAAUCAAAAGACUUAAGAAGCAAUGCAGAAAGUUACAUACAUUUAAAAACCAUCUUUUCAAAGCUUCAUUUUUCCCAAGCAAAAAAAAAACUUAAACACAAGAAUUUAUCUUGAUAGAACAUAAAAUUUUUCUUAGGCCAGUUGCCAAAAUGGUAAAGAAAAAUCUCUUGCAGUGUGACUGCCUUUACUUAUGGGAAGCCUAUUUGGAUAUACUGAAAGUUGAAUCUGAUGAAAAGGUACUUGAAUUUAAUCAGACACAGGAAGAGUAUUUCCAAGGUUAUGAGUGUACGCCUUAUAGAGGAAUGUAAAUAAGAAAGCUAGUAUGUUGAACAGAAUACAUGGCUCUUGGAAAAAUUACGAGAAAUUUCCUGCUUGCGUGGAACAAUUCAAACAUGAGAAGAGCCAAGAAUUCAGAAUCAAGUUAUACUGGAGGAAAACAUUGCUUUUCUAGGCCUUCUACAGAACAUUUCAGUAUCAAGUUAUAACAGCAAGAGUUAGAACCAGAGGAAAAAAGUUACAGGAGCUAAUGAAAAAGUUAAGAGUUAUCACCCCUGCCAAACAAAAAGAUGUACCUUCUUAAGGGGAGAAAGAGCUAAAGGCAAUGAUGUGUGACCUACAAAUAAGGUGCAGCAAGAUACAGCAAAGGUUGAACUUGUGAGAUAUAAAUCAGGAUCUUCAAGAAGAAAACUCUACCUCAAGAAAUGAAAUGACCAUCUUAAAUGAAAAAAGACAGCCUUUCUAACCUGAAUCUAGGGGAAAUUAAACGGAUCUCAGAAGGAAAUAUGGCAGAAAUUUAAACUGUGGUUUAGAAGAUGGCUGAUUUUAGAAUUAAAAAUUAAAACCUCUUUCAAUUUUAUUAAGACCAGAUCCUUAAAAAGAACCUUGUUCUAACAUUGGGGACCAAAUUUUGUGUGUGUGUGUGUGUGUGUGUGUGUGUGUGUGUGUGUGUGUGUAUAGUGCAUGUAUAGCAUUUACACUAUCGUGUAUAUACAAAUAUAUAGCAUAUGUAUAGAAUAUACUGUAUUAUUGUACAUAUACAUAUGUACAAGUAUAUAUGUAAGCUCAAUGUCUUAUGAUUUCAUUCUGACCUAUUGCCAACUUCAUUACACACAACUCCUUUCAUAAAUGUAUCCUUCAUGAACAUUUCAUGAUCUGCACAGACCUUCAGUGACAUGCUUAAACUUUCUGCUUUGUUUUAUACUUCCCCUUAAACAACUGGUCAUCCUGCUUUAGGAUAAAAAGUUACUAUGCAAGACUCAUACAGAAUUAUUCUGUUAAUUUUGUAACCUUCCUUACCAAAGGUACAUUCUCACACCCAUUAACUUCCUUCAUAUUUCUCUCCUCCUCCUACUUAGUGGUUCCUUUCUGUCUUGUUUCCAUAUUUGAAACAACCUCUAAUAAACUCUGAAUUUAAACAACUUUUUUCCCAAUAAAAAGCAAUUUUUAUGCCUUAUAACUUUUCUCAUCAAAACAUCUUUUUUUGGGUACACUUUGUAUAUGGAAUUGUGUAUUUUCAAAUUUUAACUUAUUAACCUUAAUUUUUAGUGAAAACCUA